This 36-nucleotide ribosomal RNA is filed under the name Masdevallia macropus. Its description in RNAcentral is "partial 26S ribosomal RNA". The record is from RNAcentral. Lineage: Eukaryota; Viridiplantae; Streptophyta; Magnoliopsida; Asparagales; Orchidaceae.
AUGCACCCCAGGAUGGGCGAGGCCCCCCGUUAAGCA